Molecule: long non-coding RNA, 2161 nt
Filed under: Homo sapiens (human)
Lineage: Eukaryota; Metazoa; Chordata; Mammalia; Primates; Hominidae
Description: HSALNT0310690
Source: RNAcentral
CUCCGAACACAUCCAAACAUCAGAAGGAACAAACUCCGGAUACGCAGCCUUUCAGAACUGUAACAGUCACCAGGAGGGUCCGCGGCUUCCUUCUUUAAGUCAGUGAAACCAAGAACCCACCAAUUCUGGACGCAAAAGAUGGUGCCAGAAGUGGGAUCUCAAGUAGAGCUUCCCAUGACCCCCAGAAGUGCUGAAUGAACACACAAGGUACCGGGUGCAGGACCACUUGUGUCCAAGGAUUUCCCAGAGUGGCUCAGGAUCUUGGUAUAUUUUCACCAGGUAAAGAAAGCAUUUAUGAUUCACUAAGGACAGUUAACCCCUUCACAAUCUAGAAUCUGAAGAUUGGAUCUUCUGAAAACAUCAGAGAAAGACUCUCCUUGCCAUCCACACUGCAACAAAACUUUGGAACCUUGAACCUUGGAUACAUAAUCUCACAACUGAGAAGGAUCCCUCCACAUUCUUGGAACUGUACACCCAUUGGAACCCUUAAAGUAAAACUAACCAGGAAAGUUUCUCCCCAGAAGAUGGCAUCCUUGAUGUGAACAGCUUUUCCCAAGAUCACAGAUCAACACUUCUACUAUCAUGAGACUCUUACCUUUGAAUAUUUUCCUUGUUUAUGCCUCUGUGAACAAUAGAAAUGAAAAGGGGUCUAUUAUGUGCACUUACAGGGUAUACUUUUAUUUGUUAAGAACUUUGCAGCCAGUAUUAUACAUGAAUAACCUUAUACUUAGAUAGAUUAAAAAAUGAAGUCCCAAGGUAGGGGAGAAACUUUAAUGGUACAUACAUUGCCUCAUAAUCCGUCAAAACUCCUUUUAACCUACAUCAUGGGUUAAAGAGAACAUUGCCAGGAGGCCUUCACUCUUCCACAAGGACAUCAUUUGUUAGGUCUUUUUUCCAUGAUUUAGAAUAAAUAGGCAAUAAUUAGAAAUGUAUCCCUCAUAAUAGGCUUUAUAGCAGAUUCUACUGUGAAGGUUAAGGUUACACAACAGACUUUAAAUUCUCAUGUGAAAGUUACGUUAAAUAAUAGAAUUGGCUAAACAGAACAGUAACUUUGCAGCUGCCAACACUUGUGGCCUAUAGAGAAAUACAUCAAAUGUAGAUUAUAAAAAUUGAGUUGUAGGGGAUUAACGAAAAGACUACUCAGUCAAGCAAGUAGAUCUUCAUCUAGUUCAUUCUUUAAUCUACUUAAUUUUAAGUGGUUUGGUUUAUGGGAACCCUGGGUAAGGAGCAUACUCCAAACUCUUGGUAUUAUCCUCCCAAUAGUGAUAAUAAUAAUCUCCUUGGUGCACUGUAUUCUCUCAAAGGUUUUAAAUGUUUGCAUGCAGCCAUCUCUAGAAUGUCAAAUGGUCUCUCCAACAGGAAUGACAAAAGCUGAAAGAAAUGAGUGACCAUAAGGAUACUGUAACCUACAAAUGACGUGCUGAGACCAGAAACCCAAAAUGAUGGUAACAGAGAGUGACACUAAGGCCCUAAGUUUUGGUCACACUCUCACCUAAGUGAGAACCUGACCUGAAAGGGGGAAUUUUUUAAACAAAAUUAUGGAAGGCCAUUGUUUUGAACUAAGCUCUUGCACUAGGCCCCAACAGGCCAAACCAAACUAAAAUGGAGUUACUCAUGCUAAAUGUGACAUAAACAAACUAAGACUUGAAGAAAACACAUAGAUCAUAAAACAGACCAGGUUUUGUUUUUCUCCUGUAAACAGGAUGUUCCCGCAUAAGGAGGUACCCUCUACUCAAUCCCUGUGCCUACCUUUGUAAAACUCGCCGUUCUACUGUUUCCCAGUGGGUUUCAAGACCAAAUAAGUACAUUUACAAUGGUGAUAGUGACAUCAAUAGCUAAAGUUUUGGUCAUUCUCUCGAAAUUGAGAGAAUGACCAAAAGUGGGGAAUUGUUAAAGCAAACUAAAUACGGCCUGAGAAGGACUGCAUACUUCUAUAUUUGAGUCCUUGUGGAUGAACUGCAACCUAGCUUAAUAGGUACAAGAUUGAAAACCUAACUUAGGAGUGUGCACUUCUAACAAUAGCUAAGUCUUGCCCAAUGCCAAUGGCCAUAUGUCAACCAUUCAUACACUGCUGAGUGUUCAAACUGUGUUCAAAUAGGGCAAAUGUCAAGCUGUGACCUAUCCAGCUGUUCUGUAACUCACUUCCAAUUUCUGUACAUCA